UUAACAUAAAUUUGUAUGGAAUUGGAACGUUUGCCUAUGUUUGCCGCUAGGGGCGCUGUUCCGACUGCAUACAAAGAAUUA
RNAcentral lists this microRNA precursor (81 nucleotides) under Bombyx mori (domestic silkworm). Its description in RNAcentral is "mir-2807 microRNA precursor family". It matches the Rfam family "mir-2807 microRNA precursor family". Lineage: Eukaryota; Metazoa; Arthropoda; Insecta; Lepidoptera; Bombycidae. The record is from Rfam by way of RNAcentral.